This 254-nucleotide ribosomal RNA is filed under the name uncultured bacterium. Its description in RNAcentral is "partial 16S ribosomal RNA". It matches the Rfam family "Bacterial small subunit ribosomal RNA", at positions 524 to 776 of the family's 1533-position model. The record is from RNAcentral.
GACAGAGGGUGCAAACGUUGUUCGGAAUUACUGGGCGUAAAGCGCGUGUAGGCGGCUUCGCAAGUCGGGUGUGAAAUCCCACGGCUCAACCGUGGAAGUGCAUUCGAAACUGCGAGGCUAGAGUCCUGGAGAGGAAGGUGGAAUGCUUGGUGUAGAGGUGAAAUUCGUAGAUAUCGAGAGGAACACCUGCGGCGAAGGCGGGAUUGCUGGCUGGAUACUGACGCUGAGGCGCGAAAGCCAGGGGAGCGAACGGG